RNAcentral lists this unclassified non-coding RNA (308 nucleotides) under Septobasidiaceae sp. Its description in RNAcentral is "partial contains 5.8S ribosomal RNA, internal transcribed spacer 2, and large subunit ribosomal RNA". The record is from RNAcentral. Lineage: Eukaryota; Fungi; Basidiomycota; Pucciniomycetes; Septobasidiales; Septobasidiaceae.
CGCACCUUGCACCUUUUGGUAUUCCGAAAGGUACAUCUGUUUGAGUGUCAUGAACCCCUCAACCUCUGCACUUUCUUGUAAAGUGGCAGCAGUGUUGGAUGCUGAGCGUUGCUGUUUCCGUACAGCUCGCUUCAAAUGCAUAAGCAAUCUUUGUACAUGCUCGGAUUGACUUGACGUGAUAAGAUCUUCGUCGAGGAUGCUUUAACUAGCAGCCGGAUUGUACACUAGUCGCUUCCAAACCGAGUCGCCUUGUGCGAUGCUCCCUGACUUUAGACCUCAAAUCAGAUGGGAUUACCCGCUGAACUUAA